AUUCAUGAGGGUGUGCAAAUAACAAUUGAAGCUAAGAAAUCUGUGUCAUGAUCAAAGCUUCAAGAUUGUUUGAAAUUUGUUGCAUCCCUUGAUUUCUCUUUAAAAGAUAUAUUGUCAGAUCUCCAGACAAGAGUUGAAGCUCUAACAACCCAAUUCCCGAUGCCUGGAGUACGAGUGUCAUGGCCGGUCUAUAUAAGGUCGCUUUUAUGAUGCCAGUACUGUGAUUGACUAAGUUGUCUUUAAGCUUAGUCUCUACAAGUUCUACCAAUAACAAAAUGAGAGUAAAAAUGCUUUUUUAGUGCAGCUCUUAUCGUCUAAGGAAUGAUAGGAAAGGGUAACAAUAUUACUAAAAGUUCUUAUAGCAUUUGCCUUUUUCAGAUUCUUUACUGACUUUUUUUUUUCUGUGAUGAGGCAAUGCAGUUCUUUGUUAGAUUCAAUUGGUUUACCAUUGCAAUGUCUGUAUUUUUCCUCUUGUGAUGUGGAGUUUGGACUUUUCUCCCUGCAUCCUCCAAAUCUGAACUCGAAGGUAAACUGGAAACUGUACCUUAAAAAGAAAAUUCAAGUGAAAUGGAAGGGGCAAAAAGAAAAGGUGGACUCAAAUGUGUAGUUGUUGAUUUUACAGCAGGAUUAAUUUAAUUUUUCGCAUUUUACUUUUUAUUCAUUUCAAUGACUUUGCUGGAAUGAGUAAAACAGACCGAGCAAUCAAUCUAUCCAAUAUGCUUAUAAAUGUUUCAAGUUGCUCAUUGAUACUCCAAAGUCCAAAGUGAUUGAAGAUAUGACAGACUCAAGUAUCUCCUUGGUUUUGAUUUUCAUAAGAAUACCUUAGAAUUUUUAUCAAAUUUCUUUUUGCUUUUAUUUGUCGUUUAAGGCUUUUGUAUGAUGUUUAACGAGACUCAGACUUGAUCUUUACUUGUGAAAAUAGUUUUAUAAUUGACAGAAAUUCUCAAAGGGAUCAUGAAAGAGUGAAUAUAAAUUUUGAGUGUUGAAUCAUUAUAAAUUCUUGAUUUAUUGUUGUUAUAUUUUUUUAUUAAUUUUCAUCAGAUAAUAAUAGUAUUUUACUAUUAAAAAUGAUUCUAACACCAACCAUAUUAAUAUUGUUAAAUAUUAAUUUACUAUAUUCGAAUUGAAGUAAAAUUAAUAAAAUAUAUAUUUAGGAAAUA
RNAcentral lists this unclassified non-coding RNA (1160 nucleotides) under Hevea brasiliensis (rubber tree). Lineage: Eukaryota; Viridiplantae; Streptophyta; Magnoliopsida; Malpighiales; Euphorbiaceae. The record is from RNAcentral.